Thamnophis elegans (Western terrestrial garter snake) is the source of this 956-nucleotide long non-coding RNA. RefSeq lists it as uncharacterized. The record is from RefSeq and is a predicted model, not a curated record. The transcript is spliced from 3 exons. NCBI's taxonomy places the organism in Eukaryota, Metazoa, Chordata, Lepidosauria, Squamata, Natricidae.
GAAAGAUCAUCCAGAGAUGACCACAAGAUAAAUGGAAGCGCUAAAGCACGGCACAAUCUAGGAUUUCUCUCUGUGUCUAGCUAUCAUUUCAGCACUUUAACAAGACAAGGCUAAAACUUCAAAGACAGCCAGAAAAUUGUUCUGCAAACAAAAGUUUGGCAUCAUUCCUACAAAAGGAGAGAAAUCACGAGUGAGAGAAAAGAGGUCUUUGUUCUCCACAGCUGCUGUCAUUCUGUAGAAAAAUCUCAGCACAGAUCCUGAUACAGUUAAUUGGAGCUUCCUGAAAGCCUGUAUUAACAGAUGAAGCACUAAGAAGACAUCUUGGCAGAAAAAUAUCAUUAUCAGUUUUGAGUUGCAGCCCCAAAUCCUCCUGCGGUCAAAACACAAUUCUUUUAACUAAACAAUCAAGGAUUUGAACACGUGUUGCUGCCAUGAAUUAUCAAGACUAAGGAGGGGCUUCCCCUUGGCAGGAAACAAGCUGAAAAUGUUGGUGUGGGGGGAGAGACACAGAAACUGAGAAGUUCUCUUGCAAAAAUCCCUUUUGAAUUCUAUGUCUAUCCCCCCCCCCCCACACACACAUCCAGUGGGGCUUAUAUGGAUGAAAUUCCUAGUGGAAUGUCUGAUGGCAGAACUCAUUGAAAUGGAGAGGUCAUUAUUUAAUACCAGACAUACAAGCAAGAGAUAGUAAUAUCAAUUCAGAUAUUUUCAUGGUUUCAUUCUCUAGAAUAAGAGAUAUAGUCGACUGCAAAGCAUGCAGCUAUUGGAGCAGCAUUGUGACAGAUUAAAUAAAAAAAUGUUUAAACCUUCUAUGUUCUUUUGUGCCAAAUGUGAUUUUUACAGGAGUGAACCAUUGCAGCAAAUGGUACAUUUUAAAUUCCUGAGGCAAACCUUCCACUCUGCCUAAGUUAAUUUAAUGUAAAUGUCCUUGAAAUAGAUUUAAUUGUUAUCCAGUGUUU